CCUUCGAUAGCACAGUUGGUAGAGCGGGUGACUGUAGAUUUAUAAUUGUGAUCCCUAGGUCGCUGGUUCGAAUCCGGCUCGAAGGA
Non-coding RNA from Nematostella vectensis (starlet sea anemone), 86 nucleotides. NCBI's taxonomy places the organism in Eukaryota, Metazoa, Cnidaria, Anthozoa, Actiniaria, Edwardsiidae. The record is from Rfam.